UACGUAGGGGGCUAGCGUUGUCCGGAAUCAUUGGGCGUAAAGCGCGUGUAGGCGGUUCGGUAAGUCCGCUGUGAAAGUCGGGGGCUCAACCCUCGGAUGCCGGUGGAUACUGUCGGACUAGAGUACGGAAGAGGAGAGUGGAAUUCCUGGUGUAGCGGUGAAAUGCGCAGAUAUCAGGAAGAACACCCGUGGCGAAGGCGGCUCUCUGGGACGGUACUGACGCUGAGACGCGAAAGCGUGGGGAGCGAACAGG
Molecule: ribosomal RNA, 253 nt
Filed under: uncultured bacterium
Lineage: Bacteria
Description: partial 16S ribosomal RNA
Rfam family: Bacterial small subunit ribosomal RNA
Source: RNAcentral